Molecule: ribosomal RNA, 457 nt
Filed under: uncultured bacterium
Lineage: Bacteria
Description: bacterial SSU rRNA
Rfam family: Bacterial small subunit ribosomal RNA
Source: RNAcentral
AGCGAACGCUAGCGGCGGGCCUAACACAUGCAAGUCGAGCGCAUACCUUCGGGUAUGAGCGGCGGACGGGUGAGUAACACGUAGGUAAUCUACCCUUUGGUGGGGAAUAACCCGGGGAAACUCGGGCUAAUGCCGCACGAGGUCUACGGAUCAAAGCCUUCGGGCGCCAGAGGAUGAGCCUGCGUUGCAUUACCUAGUUGGCGGGGUAACGGCCCACCAAGGGGACGAUGCAUAGCUGGUCUGAGAGGAUGAUCAGCCACACUGGGACUGAGACACGGCCCAGACUCCUACGGGAGGCAGCAGUGGGGAAUAUUGCGCAAUGGGGGGAAACCCUGACGCAGCUACGCCGCGUGGGUGAUGAAGGCCUCGGGUUGUAAAGCCCUGUCGGGAGGGACGGAAUUCUGACGGUACCUCCCAAGAAAGCACCGGCUAACUCCGUGCCAGCAGCCGCGGUAAU